AGUGGGUGUAGCGUACCUACUAGCCUACGACGGGUACGGGUUGUGAGAGCAAGAGCCCGGAGAUGGAUUCUGAGACACGAAUCCAGGCCCUACGGGGUGCAGCAGGCGCGAAAACUUUACAAUGCUGGCAACAGCGAUAAGGGAACCUCGAGUGCCAGGUUACAAAUCUGGCUGUCGAGAUGCCUAAAAAGCAUUUCAUAGCAAGGGCCGGGCAAGACCGGUGCCAGCCGCCGCGGUAACACCGGCGGCUCGAGUGGUAACCGUUAUUAUUGGGUCUAAAGGGUCUGUAGCCGGCCGGAUAAGUCUCUUGAGAAAUCUGGCAGCUUAACUGUCAGGCUUUCAGGAGAUACUGUCUGGCUCGAGGCCGGGAGAGGUGAGAGGUACUUCAGGGGUAGGGGUGAAAUCUUGUAAUCCUUGAAGGACCACCAGUGGCGAAGGCGUCUCACCAGAACGGACCUGACGGCAAGGGGCGAAAGCUAGGGGCACGAACCGGAUUAGAU
Molecule: ribosomal RNA, 500 nt
Filed under: uncultured microorganism
Description: bacterial SSU rRNA
Rfam family: Archaeal small subunit ribosomal RNA
Source: RNAcentral